UGUGGGGGGGGGAGGGAGGGUUGAGAAUUUAAGCGUUCGUUUUUAUAAAACCGGAAGUCGGAGACAAAGCCAAAAAUGAGCGGGACGAGAGACGAUAGAUAGCCACCGUGUUUAGGCACACCUACUGUACACUCCGUAGCCUUAAUACAGCUGUUAAAAAACAAACUGCAAUACCUCCUUAAACCGAAGCGAAACGCACGGCGGUCGAUGUGAAGAUCCGAAACAGCAUUUAUCUGUAGGAUCAAUAUGCAACGUGAUUAUUAAUUUUUAUUGUUGUUGCAUUUCUGAAUGUAAAAUCGAGACUGAAGGACGUCUUUAUGGGUUUUUUUGUAAUAUAGAACGUUAAUCAGAUCAGAUAGAGCGUUCCAGGGCCACACUUUCACUUGUUAGAGCUCUGUAUUACAAUACUGAUUACUACAAGGCUACUGGUGGUUAUUUUAUUAUUAUUAUUAUUAUAACUUUUUAUAAGAUGUGGCACACAUCUUAUAAAGGGUUGAGUGUUGGAAUUUUUGCAUUCUUUACUUUGAGGGUUUCCUCUGGGUAACCAUCUUUCAGCGGUUUCCUCCCCUAGUCCAAAGACAUGCGUUGUAGACUGAUUAGCGUUUCCAAAUUGUCCGUAGUGUGUGAAUGUGUGUGAGAUUGUGCACUGUGAUGCGUUGGUACCCUGGAUGUCCAGGAUGUCCCCGGCUUUGUGCCCCGGGUUCCCUGGGAUAGACUCCAGGCUCCUCCAUGACCCUUUGUAGGACAAGCAGUAUGGAAAAUGGAUGGAUGAAUGGAUGGAUAAGGUGUGGCCAUGAAGUAAGCUUCUUGAAAUCUAUUUUCUGGACACUUAACUCAUGGUAACUAUUGUAUUUAUUUAUUUAUUUAUUUUCUAAAUAAUUGGGACACCGGAAUUAGGCCAUUGGGCCGACAGGAACUUGAGCAUGGAGGUGACUGAUCAUAUUACAGUUUCCUUCACUCUUGCAACGACGCAGAAAGACACACUGGUGUCACUGGAGUUGUGACGUGUAUACACGUGUCACCUUAUGAGAUUUUUAACAGAUUCCAAACCCCCCACCCCCCACCCAUUCAUGCCGGAGGAAUAUUUAACACAGUAUUAAACACAUUAACUCUUAUACUUCACUUUUGGCUACAGAAUAUCAUCUCGUGGCUUCAUCUUAUAAAAUAAAUAAGUAAUAAUAAUAAUAAUAAUAAUAACCACCGUGUCACGUCAGAGGCUUUCCCCAUUUGAAUCCACGCCCAGUUGAAUUGAAUCAUUUGUAUUCUUUCUUUAUGUAUUCAAAUGAGCUUUCUUUCUAGUACAUUUUUUCUCUAUCUCUCUCGUAUCGUCCUAAAGAGAACAAACAUGUACAAGGGCUUUUCUUCUUAUUGUACGUAGUCCAUUUUGGUUUCAUCCGUAUUCUAGAAAAAUGUACUGUCAUACUGUUUCGUUCAAAAUCCUCGACGCUGGAAUGAAUGAAUGAACGAAUGAACGGGACUAAAUCGAUUCCUAUGCAUAUCACCACCGUGGCCUACAUAAAGAUCUGUCCGAAAAGCUCGAAUUCUGUCCGUCUGUUCUAAUAAGAACAUCAGGCUGAACGUGUAUAGUGCUUUUACACUCCAUGAUGAAGAACCCAUGAGAGACUCAAAAGGGAAUCAGUAUGAGCUUAAUGGGAGUUCUGGGACGAGGCAUAAGACAGUCUUGAUGCUUACAGCAGCAGUGUUUUAACAAGACUUUUAUAUUCAAGGUGUUCUUACAGUGUAGUUUUUUUUGGUGGUUUGCUUUCGGAGCGUCGUUCUCGAAUGCUUCUCAGAACACUAGCGUUUGGGAUACACGCCUAAGAUAACUUAAAAGCCUUUGUUUUUAUAUCAGGAAAUGAAGGUGCGAAUGUAUGUGUGGGGUUUUGCGGAAGACAUUUUAUCCCAACAGUGCCUGGACACAAAAAACAAACAAACAAACAAACAAAAAUCUGUUCUUGAUGCCUCUAUGGUGAGGUAUCGGUGCCUUGAUCUACUAGUAGAUCAUUCUUAAAUCCUAAAGUGUGCACGAACAUCGAGUGGCCACCUCAUCUAUUUAUACCAACCGCGUUAUAUCAUUAACACACGUAACGUCAUGUAGCCAACAGUGGUUUCAUAUCUCUCUCUCUCUCUCUCUCUCUCUCUCUCUCUCUCUCUCUCUCUCUCUCACUUUUCUAUACUACAGGUGAAGGAUUUCCAUGUUUCUGUUGUGUUUUUUGAUGUCAAGCUGUUUUUUUUUCCCUUUUAGCUCUAGCUUAUUAUUAUUAUUAUUAUUAUUAUUAUUAUUAUUAUUAUUAUUAUGACAGAUUGUGUUUUUAUUGAGUAUAACCUAUGUGUUAAGACUGAGUCACACUGGCGAUGCAAACAACUCAUAAAUCCUUGCACACACACACACAAACACACACACACACACACACACAUGCCCGCACACCCUAAACUCUGAACUUGAUGAAGUUGCCUGUAUAUGCGUGUGUGUGUGUGUGUGUGUGUGUGUGUGUGUGUGUGCGCAUGUGCUUACAGAUAUAAGAGCAUGAGUACACUUUUUUCUACGUUUGUGUGUUUGCCUUCAAGAAGACGUCCCCUUUCUACACUCUUCUUUCAUAGAAUCUUUUAUCAUGACCGAAACCAUCAGGAUAUAUUUAAUAUAUACAACGCAUUGUUUUUGUGUAUGAAGAACUUGUGUUUUUGUUGCUAAAAGAACAAGACAUCAAAGGUUGAAGAAGAGUCGUCUUCAGAGAUCCCUUUAUGGAGCUGUUUUCUAUCACGCUAUAUAUUUGUAAUAGGCUUGGCAUUAUUGUAGGCUAUUUAUAGUGGUGCAGUAGUUGAAUAAAGCAUUUUCAAAAACGAGAACCGAGUUCUGUAAUCUUAUUGCUUGUCCCGUGUAUCGUCUCUUGCUUUUCCUUUCGGCUGUGAUACAAUACAGCUGGUCUUCUGGGAUGUCUUUAUCAGCUUUACACAUC
This is a long non-coding RNA of Ictalurus punctatus (channel catfish), 2957 nucleotides long. Lineage: Eukaryota; Metazoa; Chordata; Actinopteri; Siluriformes; Ictaluridae. The record is from Ensembl.